CGCUACUGCCGUCACAUCCGCAAUCUACUUGAAUGAAAUCCUCUGCGUGACACGUCUGGGCUUAACGUUUACGCUAAAAGUGAGACGACUAAUUUAGGCCGACAAGGAGAGGGUAAAUCUGCUUAAAUAUCUGUAUUAAUGAAGCCACUCAACCAGUACUAACGUUAUAACUUUUCAAUAAAAACUAAAAGUGUAUCCGUCACUAAGAUAGUGAUCGCUAUGUCAAGUCUUAUUCGUAGCACGAUGGAUACGCCUUGCGUUUUUACAGUCUGAUCUUUAUCUAAGUCACAGCCAAAGACAAUGCACACACAUCAAUUGGACUUUUCCAGUAUUUACUGGAAUACUGAGUAUUGAUUUACAACCACUACUAGGAACUGAGUACUGUAUUCCAAUAAAACAGAUGAGAUGUUUGUAGACAGCCCGGGUGUUCACCAGUUUACAUUAAAAAAAAAAAAGCCUGUAAGUGCGGUGGGGAAAGUCACAUUAUAAGGACAGCAUGAAUACUCAUCUCAAAUCCUUUAAUUUUGAAUGAUGAAAUCUUCAUAAAGUGAGAGAGAUAACCAUAAUAGUCUACUUUGAGCAAGGAGUUGGCAGUAGUAGGAAGGAAGAACGCCCUUUAAAAGGAAGAGCUCUUUUGCAGAACCAGGCUCAGGAAGGCAAUCUUAGAGGCAAACACAACUGGACUUCAUGAGGUUUUUGCAGAUAUUUUGGUUCUUUAGUUCUACAACAACACCUAGUGGGGUCAGUUGCUUUGGAGUUGUUACUGAGAGUCGUUAACCCACUAUUUAUUUAUUUACCGUGUGAUAACAGACAUAGGACAUGCCAGUCGACAGGUGAAACCUCUGUGAGAUGUUACAGAGUAUAGCAUGGUGGAAAAGGAUGGAGAGAAUCGCCCCCUAAGCUUUUGGGUUGGCAUUUCUUUAGAUUUUGUUUUGUAUUAAUUGCAUGCUUUGGUGUUUUUUUGUGUUUGAUGUGAGGUGUGGGCCACACCCAUGUGGGAGUGGAGAUUCUACUCUAGUCCAGCUGCCAGCUAUUUGGAGUUGAAUACAGGGAGCAGCUGAUUGGGGAUGAUUGGAGCCCUUCUCUAUAAAGGGGAGAGGAAACAGAAAGUAGGGGUUGUUGUUGUUUUUUUUUAGUAGGACACUGGUGAAGCAGGGAAGCCUCGAAGAUCCAGGAUGAAGUGUGCACAUUUUAAUGGAAAAGAUUUUUAACCUGGCCUGGUUUUGCUUUUAAAAUAAACUGAGGAUGUUGGAGGGAGGACUCAUUCUUAUUGGGAUGUGAGUGGAUGUGCUAGAAGGCAGGAAAACAAACACUGGACUGGAGACUCUCUGUGCCCCUGACAAGGAAACUGGACCAGUUUUGGGGAAGUUCCAGCUCCCAGGAUGUGAUGUGGAGACCCAGCCUCGAACGAAGUCAGGCCUGAAAAGGCUAACAACCCUGACCGCGGUGGCUUUGGGCCUUGGAUUCCUGGCCAGAGUUGUGUCUUCAGCCAGUAGUUUUACCCGGAGAAAGAACAAAUAAAUCUUGUGUAACCCAUUACAGUGUGCGUGUGGUGGUUCGUUACUGGUCAAUAUUAGAGCUACUACUUUCUUGUACGGAGGCCAUUUUGGGCCUUACGUAACAGAGACAUUGCCCAAUCUCACCAUUAAAUUAGUUAUUGACGUCACCUGAGGUAAGGUAAGAAUGGGGAUUGAAACACCUAGGGAGGAGUCAGUCAUUGUAAGUAGCUAAUACCUGGUUUUCUAAGCCAUCACCUCAUUUUGAGAAAAUUCAUUCACAGAAACAAUAUUUGUUCAUAGAAACCAUCCUGUCUUCCUGGUCCAAAAGGUUAACAUUGGGGUCCUCAAAAGAGUGCCCUUUGUCCUUAAGGCACAGAUGUACACCUGAGUCUUGUCGUGUUGAGGUGGCUCUCCUAUGUUGAGACAUCUUUGCUGAUAUAAUGAAGGCCCAGUUAAGGUUAACUGCAUGUUUUAAGUGCUUUCUUUGCAUGUAUGUGUUCCUUUUCUUUCCCUUCUUCUUUAGAGGGAAAAUGUUUUUGUCAGUGGUGUAGGGUCCUCAACCCGAGUCAAAGAAUAGGUAGGGGAGACCGGGGAUAGUUGUAACGUGGGUCAGUUGUAACACUUCCAAUUUCUCCAAUCAGGGCUAAGUUUCAAAUGAUGUGACUCAUCCUGUGCAUGCCCAAUUCAGUUCUGCUAUCACAUGUGAAAAAUCAGCACAUUUUGUCAAACACAGACAAUUUAACAUGAAAAGUAAUUUGUAUGCCAAAAAGUAAGUUUUUCUACUUUAUUUCAAUUUCUAAUAGCAUUAUCUGCUUUGCAGUUAAACUCAUCAA
Long non-coding RNA from Astatotilapia calliptera (eastern happy), 2332 nucleotides. NCBI's taxonomy places the organism in Eukaryota, Metazoa, Chordata, Actinopteri, Cichliformes, Cichlidae. The record is from Ensembl.